RNAcentral lists this long non-coding RNA (7011 nucleotides) under Homo sapiens (human). RNAcentral describes it as "non-protein coding lnc-CD99L2-2:4". Lineage: Eukaryota; Metazoa; Chordata; Mammalia; Primates; Hominidae. The record is from RNAcentral.
AUGACUUACCGGCGGUGGCUCCGCGGCGUGCGCCCUGCCAGGAGGGGCCUGUGCUCGAGGAGCAGGCCUGGCGAGUAGCCCAGCCACUCCACGUUGAGCCGGGACUUGCCGCGCAACAUGGUCCUCCUGGGCGGGCGGCGGCUACGCCGCCCCCUGAACUCGCGUGAACACUGGUCCUCGUCUGCGUCUCGGUCGCUGAGCUGGGGGCCGCAAGGAGACCCGAGCAUAUGAGCCGCGAAGAGGGACUACCAGCCAGAGGGCUGUGGUGCUAGGCAACUGAGCGUAUUCCGCCGACGACAACACAAAAAAGCAGUGCGCAUUAUUUCGCCACUACUUGAGCAAAUAAAUGCCUCAUUAAUUACUGCCCGCAGUGGUAGGAAGUCAAGCCCUUGGCAGCUGGGAGGAGUUAAAACACUCACCCGAGUCCGUAAAACUAGAGAAUGUCAGAGUUCAAAGAGCUCUUGCUGAGAAUGACUGUUCCAGACUCGAUGCCAGUGACCCCCAACUUCCACUUAAAAGUUAAAAACAUAUUUUGCAGCUGCUCAGAAAGCCGCCAAUGAGACAACAGGGACUCAAAUAGUAAGAACAGAUGGGCCUCCCGGGCCUGCGCAACCCGAGAGAGGUAAAAACGAAAGGGUGGGUAAGUCUGGAGUCAGGCUUGACAAAAUUAAGUUGCCACUGGCUGCUAAUAAGAGGACAGCCCUUAACAUGGUCAGCGCCUGGAAAGGGCCGCUGACCACACAGCUAUUUUCUGCACCACAUGGAUACAAAGACCACAUCUGAAAUCAUGACUAAACCAGCAGCUUAGAGUGGUGGAAAGGGCAAUGGACUGGGCAGCAGGAAGUCCAGGUUUUAGUUCAAACUGAAUAAUCCCCCUCUAGGGCUGACUGUGCUGGCUCACGCCUGUAAUCUCAACACUUUGGGAAGCUGAGGCAGGAGGAUUGCGUGAGGCCAGUAGUUCCAGAGCAGCUUGGGCAGCAUAGCAAGACUCCGUCUCUAAAAAACAAACUGUAAAAUAUUUAAUAAAAAUAAUAGUAAUCUCUAUCUGGGCCUCAUCUAGACCUUUAGGUGAGUAAGAACCACCUAAUGUAAGAACUUGGGGUACAAAGAGAAUCUAGCUCUGGGGUAGGCAAACUGAGCCAGCCGACCUAAUACAUGGAGCCUACCACCUGUUUUUCUACAGCCCUGAGGUAGAAAUAGUGAAACUAAGGGAAAUUUCAGUCUGGUGAGGACCUCACAAUGCCCCUUGCCUCCUGACUCUUGAAUGCCCUAAAAUUUACAUCAGGCUACCUCUUCCAGCUCUAUCUGCCAGAUAGCUAAGCUGGGAUCUCUGAGCUGGUGAAGGGACUUGCCCAUGGAGUCAAGGAAUGCUCAGGGUUCAUGCCUCAGGACUGUUCUCACCAACUUGACUCACCUUUGGGGCUCUAGUGGAGCCCGUGGGCCUUCCGGCAAACAGAAGUAGGCAAUGGGGGUCAGGAAAUGGCCCCCACUGCCUGUCCAGCGUGGUGCCAGCUCAGCCUAGGAUCCCAUGUCCCCUGGCACACCAGUGGUUUGAUAUAACCAGAGGAUCUCCUGCCCAUGAGGGGCGGCAGCGCUCCAGUUACCAACCCCCAAGUGAAAGAUCCUGGAUCAAGUCUUUCCUGAUUGGCCUGCACCCAGAGGCUACGCUACCAGAAGAGGAACUGGACAAGGGCACACCCCAAGAUAUACACGCGUUUUUUCCUUGAAAGGCCCAGGCUUUGAGGAGGCGAUCGCAACCAGUGGGCUGAAUAAAAGAGCAAGUGUCGGCACGGAGAGAGCUAGGCCCGGGCUCACCAAGACAUAGAGCCCGAGGGUUCUGAAAACACUGUUCACGGUGGAGCACGAGGCUCGAGCGCCAGAGACCUCGGAGUUGGGUUUCCACGUGGUUAUUCCCAGCGCCAAGUGGGCGGGGCAGGGGAGGGCGGGGCAAGGCCUCCUCCCAGCUUGGGCCACUCUGAUUGGUCCGCAGCAGCAUGUCUUUCCUGGCGAGUCUGGGCAGGCCAAGCAGCCCCGCCCACCCGCAGCCCAACGCAAAGGGGCGGGACCUAGAGCUGGCUGCAGACUGAGCGCCUUGCACCCAGCAGGUGUCGGGGUGAAAUCAGAGUGUCUAGCCCCUCAUCCCGUGGAGGCUGGCACCCUCGGCCUGAGCUGCACUCAUUGAGUAAACAAAUACAUAAUUGGUGAAUGCGUGAGUGGGUGAGAGAAAUCGAAGGGAAAACCCAAAAUUCUUCCAGGAUUUCAAUGAGAAAUAGCUAUAGAUUUUGUUUUGGUUGUUUUCGCUGUUCUCGGUUCUUACUUUUUCCAUAAUUGGGUGGAAAAAGUUAGAAACACUCGAGAGAGGAAGAAACUGCAAGAGGCAAAUGAAACCCAGGAGAAGCAAGGCAAGGAGGAGCUGGUGAUUCGAGAAUGUGUAAUAAAAAGACGUAAAAGAUGAAUAAAGUGCUCCAGGCCCGGGCAUGCCUGGCCCUUGGCUUCUUGGCUGAGUGGUCCCAGGCUGCACCUCUAGCUCCUGUCCUGGGAAGAAGAAAUCGCCUUACAAGAGGGGCGGAGUGAAGGGAGUGUAUGUGCUAGCGUGUGGGGCUGUGUGUAUGAGUGUGUGUGCAUUUGAGUAUGUGAGUGUGCUUCACUGUGUGUGUGAGGGUAUGUGUGACUGUGUGUGUGUACGCGCGCACGCAUGUGAGUUUGUCUACAUCAUUGGGGGAAAUAUAAUUAAAAACAAAAUCUUCUCCCAGCCCAGAUAACCUCUCCAUAAAGGUAGAAGAGAAAGAAAACAAUUUUCUUGAAUAAACAUUAAAUCAGAAUGUGAUAUGAAUCACAGGCAGCCAGCUAAAAGUAUUGCAAGGACAGAAAGAAACCUCACACUAGGCAUACCUCAGAGGUAUUGCAGUUUGGUUGCAGACCAGCACAAUAAAGCGAAUAUUGCAAUAAAGCAAGUCACGUAAUUUUUUUGGUUUCUCAGUUCAUAUGAAAGUUACGUUUAUACUAUAGUAUAGUCUGUUAGGUGUACAGUAACAUUAUGUCUAAAAGUAACGUACAUACCUUAAUUUAAAAAUACUUUAUUGCUAGAAAAUGCUAAUGAUCAUCUGAGGCUUCAUCUAGUGGUAAUUUUUUUGCUGGUGUAGGGUCUUGCCUCCAUGUGGAUGGCUGCUGACUGAUCAGGGUGGUACUUGCUGAAGGUUGGAGUGGCUGUGGUAAUUUCUUAAAAUAAGAUGACUAUGAAGUUUGCUGCAUCGACUGACUCUUCAUUUCAUGAAAGAUUUUUCUGUAGUUUGCAAUGCUGUUUGAUAGCAUUUUAUCCACGGAACUUCUUUCAAAACUGGAGUCAGUCCUCUCAAACACUGUUGCCACUUUAUCAGCUGUUUAUAAAAUAUUCUAAGUACUUUGCUGUCAUUUUAACAAUAUUCACAACAUCUUCACCAGGAGUAGAUUCCAUUUCAAGAAACCCCUUCCUUUGUUCAUCCAUAAGAAGCAACGCCUCAUCUGUUUAAGUUUGAUCAUGAGAUUGCAGCAAUUCAGUCACAUCUUCAGGCUCCACUUUUAAUUCCAGUUCUCUUGCUAUAUCCUCCACACCUGCAGUGACUUCCCCCACUGAAGUCUUGAACCCUUCAGAGUCAUCCACGAGGGUUGGAAUCAACUUCUUUUACUCUCCUAUUAUUGUUGAUGUUUUGACUUCUUAUGAAUCAUGUAUGUUCUCAACAACAUCUAGAAUGAUGAGUCCUUUUCAGAAGGUUUUCAAUUUACUUUACCCAGAUCCAUCAUAGGAAUCAGUAUCUAUGGCAGCUGUAGCCUCACAAAAUGUAUUUCUUAGAUAAUGUACUAGAAAGUCAGAAUUACUCCUUGAUUCAUAGGCAGCAGAAUGGACGUGUUGACAGGCAUGAAAACAACAUUAAUAUCCUUGUACAUUUCCAUCAGAGCUCUCGGGUGACUAGAUGCAUUGUUAAUGAGCAGUAAUAUUUUGAAAGGAAUCUCUCUGGUUUCUGAGCAGAAAGUCUCAACAGUGGGCUUAAAAUAGUCAGUAAACCAUACUGUAAACAGAUGUGCUGUCAUCCAAGUUCUGUCCUUCCAUUUAUAGAGCACAGGCAGAGUAGAUUUAGCAUAGUUUUUAAAGGCCCCAGGAUUUUUGGAAUGGUAAAUAAGCAUUGGCUUCAACUUAAAGUCACUAGCUGCAUUACCUCUAAUAAGAGAGUCGGCCUAUCCUUUGAAGCUUUGAAGUCAGGUAACAGUGGAGGUUAGGCCCAUCUUCUUCCAGGAAACUGGGAGAUCAGACAUUAUCUUUCUUGAUAAUCACAUUACAAAAAGAUGGCUCCCAGGUCCCCGAGGAAACAUUCUUAACUUAUGAUAGUGGCAAGAGGGUUAUGUAAUCACCGAGAAGAUUUAUAUACAUUUGAAAACAACAGAAAAAGAAAUGCUUUAAUAAAAUGGAGCAGGAGGAGUCACUUAUUUUUCAACAGGAAGAAUUAAGUAUCUUAAUUUGUAUUUGCCUUUACAACAUAGAUGUGCUAAAAGCCAAGAAGUGUGUGGGUGUGUGUGUAUGUGUGUGUGUGUCCUACCCAAAAUGUGGCCCCACCAUACCCACCUCUCCAGGGUGCUCUCCCACACACAGUUCCUCCCGUCCCUGCACCCUCCAUACUGUCCCUUCACCACACACACAGCUUGGAUGACUUUCUAGGAAAACCAAAACAUGCUGAUCCUCAGUGGGCUUGUGCUGUGUCUGCCUCUGAAGUGCUGCUGCUGCCCCCAUUUCUGCCACCUCCCAAGUGCCAUCUCUUUUUUCAGCAUCUCCUAUGGCAUUUGGGCCUACAAGUUAGAACUUGAUCUCUUCUAACUCCUAUUACAACUAGUUGGGACUUCUAGUCUCUCCCACUAGACUGUACACUAGUUGGGGAGAGGAGGACAUGGCUGGUGGCUUUUUUAUCUCUGUGCUACCCACAGCACAGGUUUUGAACACGUAUCCUCAAUCAAAGUUGUGACAUUGAGUUGCAGUGAGAAUCUUACUAGGGCCACCUUUCUGGCUCCCAUCCCUCACCUCCAACCCUCACCCACCCUGUUUCUGCUCCUCUGCCCACUAAACUCUGCUGUUAUAAGAACUCUUAUAACCUAGUGGUUAAGGAAGGGUUGAGGAAUAUAUUGAAGCCAGAAGAAGGAGAAUUUACAAAAUGUGUUCCCAGUGUAAUUCCCCAUCAGAUUCCUUAGGGUACAUAUCUGAUCUAGUGCACUUAAAAUGCACAUUACCUUGGGAGUGUCACCUCCACUUUGGUGCCUCAUGUUCCAUUUAGACAUAUGACACUGGCACUGGGCUUUCCAUAGGUCUCAGGGCUGGGCCCAGACAGCCAGAAUUCCCUACCUCACCUCUCAAAAAGGCCCCGAGAGCUGCAAGACAAAUUAGAGCAGGUGUUGCCUCUAGGAAUGCAUGGGGCCAUAGAAGCACACACUACCACACACACACAAAAAUCCUUUCUAGAAUUGCAGACUGCCAACUGGUAAUCCAGCCUCUAUAUCCCCCCUGCCCUCCAGGAACAAGGAGCUCAGUGUCUUUCAAGAUAGUGUACUAGCAUGUCUUGCCUCCAUGAGUAGUCCAUUGGUGGCAGAGGUCAGCAUAAGUGUCCUCUGUCCCCAUUCAGGAUGCUCACCUCUGUUAACCUUGCCCGAGACUUGUCGGUGACCACAUCACACUGCCUUGACCUGACUGUCAACAAGCCCCCCAAAUAUCUAUGCAAGCACUGCCAAGUCUUCUCUGACCUGCCCCCAGUGGAUUUUUUAGACCCAAAUGUGUGUCCCCACAUUGAUCCUUGGUGCAUCUCACCUAUAAGUCCACAAGGAAGACACACAGGACCCAGUGGGAAAGCAGCCAGGUUGCAGUGCAACGAACUAGACUUGGAGUUGAAGGCCUGCACUUGAAUCUGGGUUCCCCCACCAUUUUCUAGCUGUGGGAUCAUGGACAAGACACUAUCUCUUUCUGAACAUUUGUUUAUCUUAUCUGGAAAUGGUUUAUUAUGAGGAUCUGAUGACCUAAUGGGUGCAGUAGUCACCUGAUCAACUGCAAAGACCUGAUGAAAGCAGCAGCUUGGCCAUAGGAGAAAAUAACUGGACUGGAGGUAAAAAGAUCUGAGAGCAAGUGUGUCUCUGGGCUCCGGUGUGACCUCAUCAAGUGUCAGAACUAGAUGAGGGUGGGACUAGAGGGACUCUAACUAUUAGACUUUUCGAGCUGUGGUUUAAUGGCAUUUGUCCCCUUUGUGGGCAGUGGGUGGAGCAGAGGGGUUCUUGCCCUAGGGUGGAGGAGGGGAUGGAUUACUCUAGAUGACUAGUCCCUUCCUCCACAAAGUGGAUGAUUUUGUGUUCUCUGAGCCUGUGGUGAGAUCACGCAUAUUUUUUAUAGCACCUAGUACAGACUUGUGUACACAGUUGGGCUUAGCUGAAUGAAUGAAUGAAUCUUUCUUUCUUCAUAUAACAGGGAAGGCCUGUAAUGGGCUGUUAUCCUUGGCCCCUGACACUAGGGUAAUGAUGGCAUCCCACGGUAAAACAUUUUUGUGUGUAAAUAUCACUUAAGUCUGCACAGCAGUUGUCAAACAGUGAGGCCCUGACAGAAGCCAGUGCACCAACCUGGAAACAUUUUUAUGGUAAUCAUUUUCCUACAGAACUCAGAGCUUCAAAAGGAGGGCAUUCAGAUACUCCCCUAGAAGGUUGCAGCUGGAAGGAACUUUCAAGAUCACAGAAUCCCGCCCCUUCACUUCCCAGAUGGUGAAGCACCAGCUGCAGGGGGUGAGGAGAGGGGUGCCUUCCCUGGCCCGAAGCCUGGCUCAUAGUAGGAACAUACCAGAGGCUUGCUGCUGCAUGCCUGCCUGCUUGACAGUGUGCCAAGUUAGGCCAUAACAGUGGGGUGAGAAACCAGCCACUAACCAGGCAAGGCAGCAGGGCCCAAAUUAGACCUAGGAGUGGCUGGAGGUAAGAAAUCAAUAUAAACAGGAGCUGGAAAUGAGACCAUGUGGAGAG